Molecule: long non-coding RNA, 644 nt
Organism: Arabidopsis lyrata subsp. lyrata
Lineage: Eukaryota; Viridiplantae; Streptophyta; Magnoliopsida; Brassicales; Brassicaceae
Exons: 4
Source: RefSeq, a predicted model, not a curated record
GUUGCUCUCUCUCUUUCAUCGACGAUUUCACCGAAGAGAUUUCAGUGAAAUCGGAAGCAAACCGAGGAGAACGAUCGACGCCUUUGAUUCGUCGUCAUCAUCAUCUCAACGGACGCGGAGCACGAUCAACGCCUUUGAUUCAGCAAAUCGGUGAAUCGGAAGCGAACCCUAAUUCUGUUUUCUACACGAAACCCAUCAAAAUCGAGAUUUGAUCCGUUUCUACUUUCUGCCAUUUGAUUGUCUUCAUCAGUACAAAUCUGGGGAAACGAGAAGCCCUAAUCUUUGGAGGUAAACCGAUUGCUCCUUGGACGUAAUUGUGGGAAUCUGCAAUAUCCUUGUCUUCAAAACAUGAUUUUGAUCUCCAGGCUGCUAGCUUUUCAGCUGAUAAAGAGCAAAUGAGAAUGCCUCGAGUGGUCAGAGUUAAAAGUAAAACAAGAAGAAAGAAACCAGAAAGGUCAAGUUGGUUUAUCACAAAUGCAGGAAGGCUGAUUGGCUAGCAUGAAGAUGUGAGAUGCAAAUAUCACCUUGUCAAGCAUAGUUUGUGUCUCAAGUUUUGUAAAAAAACUAGAUGAAUUCCCACGCUACGCGUGGGUUUGUUUUGAAAAUUGUUAAGAUAAAAAUAUAUAAAUUGUCUUUGUCGCUAA